This 468-nucleotide ribosomal RNA is filed under the name uncultured bacterium. Its description in RNAcentral is "partial 16S ribosomal RNA". It matches the Rfam family "Bacterial small subunit ribosomal RNA", at positions 28 to 507 of the family's 1533-position model. The record is from RNAcentral.
GACGAACGCUGGCGGCGUGCUUAACACAUGCAAGUCGAACGGAAAGGCCCUGCUUUUGUGGGGUGCUCGAGUGGCGAACGGGUGAGUAACACGUGAGUAACCUGCCCUUGACUUUGGGAUAACUUCAGGAAACUGGGGCUAAUACCGGAUAGGAGCUCCUGCUGCAUGGUGGGGGUUGGAAAGUUUCGGCGGUUGGGGAUGGACUCGCGGCUUAUCAGCUUGUUGGUGGGGUAGUGGCUUACCAAGGCUUUGACGGGUAGCCGGCCUGAGAGGGUGACCGGCCACAUUGGGACUGAGAUACGGCCCAGACUCCUACGUGAGGCAACAGUGGAGAAUAUUGCACAAUGGGCGGAAGCCUGAUGCAGCAACGCCGCGUGCAGGAUGACGUCCUUCGGGUUGUAAACCGCUUUCGCCUGUGACGAAGCGUGAGUGACGGUAAUGGGUAAAGAAGCACCGGCUAACUACGUG